RNAcentral lists this ribosomal RNA (497 nucleotides) under uncultured bacterium. RNAcentral describes it as "partial 16S ribosomal RNA". It matches the Rfam family "Bacterial small subunit ribosomal RNA", at positions 28 to 507 of the family's 1533-position model. The record is from RNAcentral.
GAUGAACGCUGGCGGCGUGCCUAAUACAUGCAAGUCGAGCGAACAGAUAAGGAGCUUGCUCCUUUGACGUUAGCGGCGGACGGGUGAGUAACACGUGGGUAACCUACCCAUAAGACUGGGAUAACUUCGGGAAACCGGAGCUAAUACCGGAUAACAUUUGGAACCGCAUGGUUCUAAAGUGAAAGAUGGUUUUGCUAUCACUUAUAGAUGGACCCGCGCCGUAUUAGCUAGUUGGUAAGGUAACGGCUUACCAAGGCGACGAUACGUAGCCGACCUGAGAGGGUGAUCGGCCACACUGGAACUGAGACACGGUCCAGACUCCUACGGGAGGCAGCAGUAGGGAAUCUUCCGCAAUGGGCGAAAGCCUGACGGAGCAACGCCGCGUGAGUGAUGAAGGGUUUCGGCUCGUAAAACUCUGUUAUUAGGGAAGAACAAAUGUGUAAGUAACUGUGCACGUCUUGACGGUACCUAAUCAGAAAGCCACGGCUAACUACGUG